UCAGCCUCACUGCAUUGAAUCAUCUGCUGCAUCUGUCACCAUGAGGACCCUGGCUGCUCUUCUGGCUCUGGUGCUGGUCAUCUCAGUUAGUGCUCAGUAUGGACAGACUACACACGAUUGCUGUGCCAAAUACUACUCUAAUACGAUUCCUGCAAACAUGGUGGUGUCUUACUACAAGACUAGCAACAACUGCUACCUGAAAGCUCUUGUGAUUAAAACAAAGAUGGGCAAGGUACGCUGUGUGGACCCUGAGGUGAAGUGGGUAAACAAGAUUAUCAGCAAGCAAGCUGCAACCACGGUGAUGCCUACCUCAUCCUCAACUGUGAAUCAAACGUCAACUUUCAAUCAAACAUCACCAAGUCCUACUGGGGCACACAAAAAGCUUAUGCUUUUUAGAUUAAAGUAAUUUAUCCCACUGAUCAAGUCUAUGAAAAAGCUACAUCAAUGCAUAUCACUUUUAAUAUGUCAAUAAUUUGUUUAAUAAUAAAAUAACUAUGUAUAAAGAAGUCACAUUUGCUUGUCUGUUUCAGUUGUUUUCAGUCCUUCAUUACAUCCCUGAUAGCAAUUUGCAAAUAACGGACCACCGGUGGGUUUUCACCAUUGUGUGCCACUUCUGCUGUCAGACCCAUCUUCAGUUUAACAUGUUGUAAGCAAAUGUUACUAAAAUGACGGUAAAAAUAUAACUGAAUAAAUAAAAACACAUUUGAGCCGUAAGUGGCAAAACAGUUUGACAGUAACCCGCCAGUGGACCCCUGGAAAAGCUAACAAGCAAAACACUAGCGGGCCAACAACGGUCCACCACCCACUGUACUGCAGUCAUAUCAUCUUCACUGGGAAUUUAUACCGCAAGUCUGAAACAUAAAUGAUGUGCGCUGCCUCCUUCUCUAAUAUGACACAAUUCGUUUCAUCCAUGUUAUUACUAUUUGUAAACGUAUACACUGUACACUUAUAUAAAGAAGUGAACCAUGCAAAUACAAUGUCAUGAACUUUUGAUGGCUGUGAGAAUAACAAACAGAAAACAAAAUGAUUAAAAAUGCUUGAAUAAAAUAGAUACAUAACAUAGAUACACCAGGACUCGAAA
Alosa alosa (allis shad) is the source of this 1081-nucleotide long non-coding RNA. RefSeq lists it as uncharacterized. Lineage: Eukaryota; Metazoa; Chordata; Actinopteri; Clupeiformes; Clupeidae. The transcript is spliced from 3 exons. The record is from RefSeq and is a predicted model, not a curated record.